This 497-nucleotide ribosomal RNA is filed under the name uncultured bacterium. RNAcentral's name for it is "partial 16S ribosomal RNA". It matches the Rfam family "Bacterial small subunit ribosomal RNA", at positions 28 to 507 of the family's 1533-position model. The record is from RNAcentral.
GAUGAACGCUGGCGGCGUGCCUAAUACAUGCAAGUCGAGCGAACGGACGAGAAGCUUGCUCCUCUGAUGUUAGCGGCGGACGGGUGAGUAACACGUGGAUAACCUACCUAUAAGACUGGGAUAACUUCGGGAAACCGGAGCUAAUACCGGAUGAUAUUUUGAACCGCAUGGUUCAAAAGUGAAAGACGGUUUUGCUGUCACUUAUAGAUGGAUCCGCGCCGCAUUAGCUAGUUGGUAAGGUAACGGCUUACCAAGGCAACGAUGCAUAGCCGACCUGAGAGGGUGAUCGGCCACACUGGAACUGAGACACGGUCCAGACUCCUACGGGAGGCAGCAGUAGGGAAUCUUCCGCAAUGGGCGAAAGCCUGACGGAGCAACGCCGCGUGAGUGAUGAAGGUCUUCGGAUCGUAAAACUCUGUUAUUAGGGAAGAACAAAUGUGUAAGUAACUGUGCACAUCUUGACGGUACCUAAUCAGAAAGCCACGGCUAACUACGUG